AUGUUUACUUAUUUUUGAGAGAGACAAAGAGACAGAGCGCAAGUAGGGGAGGGGCAGAGAGAGAGGGAAACACAGAAUCCAAGUAGGUCCCGGGCUCUGAGCUAUCAGCACAGAGCCUGAGCGGGGCUCAAACCCACAAACUAUGAGAUCAUGACCUGAGCCAAAGUCGGACGCUUAACCGACUGAGCCACUCAGGCGCUCCGAAGCUUUGACAUUUCUCGCACGACAAUUUCAAGACAAUGUUCAUCCUAGUCCACUCUCCCUAGUGGUCACCUAAAUCAGCUUAUGUUUUUCCAAAUAUGGAAGAAAACCUAAGGAGGGUCCCCAUCCAGGUGUAGCGAGAAUGCCGAUAACGAUCAGAGAGAGUGUUUAUGUAAAUUAUCAAAUGAUUCCAGCGCUGUUGAUUCUGCCAUAAGCCUCCUUAAUCAUAAAUAAGAAAGCCAAGAUGCAAAGAAGGACACAUGUCAUCAAUUUUACUCUGAAGGAAAGCAAAGACACUUACAUUAAAAGGAGCGACAGGAUUUCUACAGUAACUUCGGAAACUCUCAGAGCUGCCAUCAAAAAUCCUUGAUGAAUUACUCCAGUUGGAUGGGAGUUCUGCGUGGGGAAAGGUCGAAAGGAUAGUUUUUGUUAAAGUCUGCCCCAGACUGACGUUGACAGCCGCUAGCAAAGCUCUGCUGUCAGCUGGGAGCUAACUUGCCAGAACGCACCUGCCUCUGUGGUCCUGUUAGUAAUGGCCAGUGAGACGGGCUGGGAUGGGACUUCCAACAUCAAAAUUGUGGAAAAGGCUCAGUCCCUUACCUGGACACUCUAGGGCUGGAAGUGUGAUGUGGAGACAACAGACAAUAUAACUUUGCACCGCCGUCGCCCUUACAGAGCCAGCACAUGCUCUCAGCAGCUGGAGCGGCACGACCAAGCUCCCUCCCCAGGAACUGCACUCAGCGUCACAGACAGCCACCAGAGCCGUGAACACCCAUGAGCACCUGUGCUUGAACUCCAUUCAUGUUGUGCUUCUAUUAGCAACAUAUGUCCUAAGGUUUCAAAAAUGUCUAAGAGAGGUUGGUUUCUUGGGGGGGGGGGGUCUAGAUACACUUAAAAAAUUUCCAUAAACAAUAAUGGCAAUUGCUUCUUUGCUUUGCACCAUUUCAGCUUAUGAGAGCUUUCAUAGGAACGCUCUACUUUUGCGGACAGCCGGGCAAGCCUGUAUACGAUAAAAUAUUGCACAGCCAUAAAAUGCAUGCCUUAGAAUAGUAUCUACUGAAAGAGGGAAAUGUUCAUUACACUAUUUUUUUAAACGUAGGUACAGAACCACAUAUAAAUU
RNAcentral lists this long non-coding RNA (1321 nucleotides) under Felis catus (domestic cat). Its description in RNAcentral is "lncRNA (ENSFCAG00000052630.1)". Lineage: Eukaryota; Metazoa; Chordata; Mammalia; Carnivora; Felidae. The record is from RNAcentral.